UUAAGUUCAGCGGGUCUUCCUACCUGAUCCGAGGUCAACCUUGGGUAAAUAAGGCGUUUAACGGCCGGAACCCGCAGCACUCCCAGAGCGAGAUGUAACUACUACGCUCGGUGUGACUAGCGAGCCCGCCACUGGUUCAGGGCCUGCGGGCAGCCGCAGGACCCCAACACAAGCAGGGCUUGAUGGUUGAAAUGACGCUC
This 200-nucleotide unclassified non-coding RNA is filed under the name Humicola sp. Its description in RNAcentral is "partial internal transcribed spacer 2". Lineage: Eukaryota; Fungi; Ascomycota; Sordariomycetes; Sordariales; Chaetomiaceae. The record is from RNAcentral.